This 468-nucleotide ribosomal RNA is filed under the name uncultured bacterium. RNAcentral describes it as "partial 16S ribosomal RNA". It matches the Rfam family "Bacterial small subunit ribosomal RNA", at positions 28 to 507 of the family's 1533-position model. The record is from RNAcentral.
GACGAACGCUGGCGGCGUGCUUAACACAUGCAAGUCGAACGGAAAGGCCCUGCUUUUGUGGGGUGCUCGAGUGGCGAACGGGUGAGUAACAUGUGAGUAACCUGCCCUUGACUUUGGGAUAACUUCAGGAAACUGGGGCUAAUACCGGAUAGGAGCUCCUGCUGCAUGGUGGGGGUUGGAAAGUUUCGGCGGUUGGGGAUGGACUCGCGGCUUAUCAGCUUGUUGGUGGGGUAGUUGCUUACCAAGGCUUUGACGGGUAGCCGGCCUGAGAGGGUGACCGGCCACAUUGGGACUGAGAUACGGCCCAGACUCCUACGGGAGGCAGCAGUGGGGAAUAUUGCACAAUGGGCGGAAGCCUGAUGCAGCAACGCCGCGUGCGGGAUGACGGCCUUCGGGUUGUAAACCGCUUUCGCCUGUGACGAAGCGUGAGUGACGGUAAUGGGUAAAGAAGCACCGGCUAACUACGUG